This is a long non-coding RNA of Lates calcarifer (barramundi perch), 658 nucleotides long. RefSeq lists it as uncharacterized. The transcript has 4 exons. Lineage: Eukaryota; Metazoa; Chordata; Actinopteri; Centropomidae. The record is from RefSeq and is a predicted model, not a curated record.
AUAAAAAGUCCUUCAGGGUGGGGAAUCCAUCCAAACAGGGGAUGAGUUUUGUUUAAAAUAGUUGAGGUUUGUGUCGAUGCUUGGAUUAGCUGGGGAGAGUUGUGUAGAGUCUUCAAACGUGAUGUUGUAUAAUCUUCUGUGUGCGCACACUCUUUUUCCUGUAGGUUAGUAGACAACACUCACCCAUUUGCUGAUCCAGGCCUGAGACCAGAUCCAGUAGGCCUCAAGCCUCAGUCCUCUGGUUAGACCCUGUUUGUUGAGAAAACCUGUCUGAAGUUAGUCUCUCUCAGAGGAUUAAAGGAAAGAAGGUCCCAACGUUUCGCCUGGAAGGCUUCUUCAGGGGAGCAAGAAGAGAGUGAAGGAUCCAGGCCUCUAUAUUCAUAUAGAUCAAGUCCAUGAGGGUGGAUCCUAGAAAUAAAAGGUUCCAUAUUGGCUCAUGGAGAAAAAGCAGAUUGAUAAAUGGUCCGGAGCUGGUUCAGUGAGAGGAGAGUACAAGUUUUGAAAGGAUAUGAAGGUAAGUAAAGGGAGGGGACAAGGAGGGGUGAGGAAAACACAGCCUAUUAGGACAGGGAGUAUUAUUUGUGAAAAUGUUGAAUUUUUAUAUAUCCCUGAUAUUUUUUUUUCAAUCACAUCAAUAGGUUGUGUUAGGGAUCCUCAA